RNAcentral lists this ribosomal RNA (492 nucleotides) under uncultured bacterium. RNAcentral's name for it is "partial 16S ribosomal RNA". It matches the Rfam family "Bacterial small subunit ribosomal RNA", at positions 29 to 507 of the family's 1533-position model. The record is from RNAcentral.
AGUGAACGCUGGCGGUAGGCCUAACACAUGCAAGUCGAACGGCAGCACAGUAAGAGCUUGCUCUUACGGGUGGCGAGUGGCGGACGGGUGAGGAAUACAUCGGAAUCUACUUUUUCGUGGGGGAUAACGUAGGGAAACUUACGCUAAUACCGCAUACGACCUACGGGUGAAAGCAGGGGAUCUUCGGACCUUGCGCGAUUGAAUGAGCCGAUGUCGGAUUAGCUAGUUGGCGGGGUAAAGGCCCACCAAGGCGACGAUCCGUAGCUGGUCUGAGAGGAUGAUCAGCCACACUGGAACUGAGACACGGUCCAGACUCCUACGGGAGGCAGCAGUGGGGAAUAUUGGACAAUGGGCGCAAGCCUGAUCCAGCCAUACCGCGUGGGUGAAGAAGGCCUUCGGGUUGUAAAGCCCUUUUGUUGGGAAAGAAAAGCGGCAGGUUAAUACCCCGCUGUUCUGACGGUACCAAAAGAAUAAGCACCGGCUAACUUCGUG